UGAUUGGCAGUAUUGAAUAACAUAGCCUCUUCUAAAAAUGGUAGCAUUUGAUUACAUUAUUUUGUGAAUGUUUGUGAGAUAAAAGGGUGUGUAUGCAAGUGUGUUUCGUGUUUAAAUAGUGAAAUGUGAUUGUGUUCCUUCUAUAAUUAGUGCAAUAGGAUCGUUAUCUCCAGAGGAUUUAAACAUGUAUCCAAUUCAGGUUGCUGUAGCUACCUACCUCUUCAUAUGCAUUAUCUCUAGUAUAGUAGCCCAAGUGCCUCAAAGAUUCACUGCCCAAAACCCGUGCACUUCCAAAUCAACUUGCCAAGAAUGUAUUCAGACUCCUUCGUGUGCAUGGUGCUAUGAUCCUGAAUUUAGUGGUAGUGCUCGAUGUUUCCAACCGUCAUUCCCUAUAGCCCCCAAAGAUCAGUGCAAGGAAGAGUUUGUGUUCAAUCCUGAUAACACAAUGAGUGUUAUUAGUAAUUUAGAGCUUUC
Molecule: long non-coding RNA, 474 nt
Organism: Sitophilus oryzae (rice weevil)
Lineage: Eukaryota; Metazoa; Arthropoda; Insecta; Coleoptera; Curculionidae
Exons: 3
Source: RefSeq, a predicted model, not a curated record